Molecule: ribosomal RNA, 421 nt
Filed under: uncultured bacterium
Lineage: Bacteria
Description: bacterial SSU rRNA
Rfam family: Bacterial small subunit ribosomal RNA
Source: RNAcentral
UAAGGAAUAUUGGUCAAUGGACGCAAGUCUGAACCAGCCAUGCCGCGUGAAGGAUGAAGGUCCUCUGGAUUGUAAACUUCUUUUAUCUGGGACGAAAACGGGACUUUUAUCUCAAUUGACGGUACCAGAGGAAUAAGCACCGGCUAACUCCGUGCCAGCAGCCGCGGUAAUACGGAGGGUGCGAGCGUUAUCCGGAUUUACUGGGUUUAAAGGGUGCGUAGGUGGGCUUAUAAGUCAGUGGUGAAAUCUCCGAGCUUAACUUGGAAACUGCCGUUGAUACUAUAGGUCUUGAAUUAUCUGGAGGUCAGCGGAAUAUGUCAUGUAGCGGUGAAAUGCUUAGAUAUGACAUAGAACACCAAUUGCGAAGGCAGCUUACUACAUAUAAAUUGACGCUGAGGCACGAAAGCGUGGGGAUCAAACA